This 503-nucleotide unclassified non-coding RNA is filed under the name Hevea brasiliensis (rubber tree). Lineage: Eukaryota; Viridiplantae; Streptophyta; Magnoliopsida; Malpighiales; Euphorbiaceae. The record is from RNAcentral.
GUUUGCUCUGCUGUUAACAAGGUCCCUGUCUGUGUUUUCGUUGCUUCUAAUGGUUGUUUCAUUUGUUUUCUAUUUGGUAAUCUUUAGUAAUCUCCAUUUGUUCAGGUGGGUUUCUAUUUGUGUCUAACAGAACAUAAUGGUGAAAAGGAUCAUAUAGCUGAUCCAAUUAGUUUGGGAUUAAGGUUUAAUUGUUUCUUUGUUUAUAGCCUUGUGAAAUCUGUGUUCUUGUACGUUGAUUCCAUUAGACUAUUAGUGCGUGGAAUGUAAAAGAUACUGUGUAAUUCCAGGAUAAACAUUGCGUGACUGGCUUGUUAGUUUAUACUUUAUACUCAAAUUUGGCGGCUGAAUAUACAAUGGAAAGGGCGAAAAAAGAAGAGGAAAAUGAGAUCUUUUUUAUAGUGUUUGAAAUGCUAGAUUAAAUUUAUCUUAUUGUCUAUUGUAGUCUUGUAUGCAAAAUUAUUUCCUAUAUUUUCCAUGUUCAGGCGGGUCUUGCCAAGCUUAUU